RNAcentral lists this ribosomal RNA (119 nucleotides) under Callithrix jacchus (white-tufted-ear marmoset). Lineage: Eukaryota; Metazoa; Chordata; Mammalia; Primates; Cebidae. The record is from RNAcentral.
GACUAUGGCCAUACCACCCUGAACGGGCCCACUCUCGUCUGAUCUCGGAAGGUAAGCAGGGUCAGGCCUGGUUAGUACUUGGAUGGGAGACUGCCCGGGAAUACCCAGUGCUGUGGGGU